UGAAAGCUUAUUUACUUCACUCUCUCGUUUCUCCAAGUCCGACACACUCCUCUGUCCUCCACCGAAAAACCAGAUUAGGGCUUUUAUCCCUCCCUCUUGCGACCGCGACUCCGCCCCCGUUCCUUCUCCCCGUUCACGCUCCAUUUCCUGCACCUGAAUCUCUUUUAUCUGCUUGUGUUUGCUUGUUUCUCCGGUUGUUUCCUCUGGGCCUUUUGAGUUCCUCUCUCUGCUAAAGGUUGGAUUUUUCGGUGGUUAAUUUGAACAGUUUGUGACCUUCUCGUCGUGAUUUUUAUGUUCUGGAGGACCAAAAAGGUCAGCAGCCGCUUCUUCAGGGUUGGAGUUGGUACUUUGAGAAGCAUAAGGAGCUAUGCCGAUAUGUUGUUCUUCUGGAGUUAUGGUGAGGUUUGGAUUUGAUCGGCUGUAAUCUGAGUGCAGGAGGUUUAAGUUGUAGCUAAGAUAGGGGCGCUUUGUUGUGUGGCCGCAAGGCCACACGGUUCUCGUGCUACCAGUAGGGAGUGGUCAGUGGGAUGCAACGAACCAUUUUGGCCAACAAGCUCAAACUUUUCGCCACCCUUGUCAACAAGGCGGGACUAUCGAUUCCAUGCAGAAGGGUUUUCUUUUGGCUCUCUAGGUGAUGACAGAGUUGCACAUUAUGGAUCUUGUGUUUCAUUGAGUGAUAAAAGUUCCAGGGGUUGGGGGAGGAGUGAGUCAUUUGCCAAUCAUCAAUUCUCUGUAUCUGAUGGUGCUCUCUCGUUCACCGACAGCCCUUCUGAUAGCUUCAAAAACUACCAAUUGAGACACUCAGUUACACAAGGAGCUAGCAUUGAAGAAUACACCAGAGAUCCAUUGUCUGGGCCACUGGUGAUCCCACAGUUUGUGGAGGGGAAUCUAGGGCUUCCAUCCUUUAAUGGUUCCUUUUCCUCGUGUUCAGAUGGCAGCGAAUUUGAUGCUAUAUCAAAAUCUCAUGGUUCUGCUGGUUGCAGCUUCUCAAAUCAUCGAUUUUUCAUGCCAAAGGCCAUUCAUCCUCUAUCAGUUCCAGAUCACGAUGUAGGAGAACCUGGUGCCAUCCUCCAGAAGGAACCAGUGCUUUGGGAUAGCACCGACAACUUGCUUAUGGACAUAUGCGAACUGCUGGAGCCCAAAGCUCGUCCGCCUAAUAGUUCUUUGCAUGACUUAUCCAAAUGUGGACUAUGUGAGAGGCUGUUGUCCCAGAGAUCACCAUGGUGCUCCUGUCGGAUUGUCUGUAGUGGAGAUUUGCCAACAGCAAGUGUCCUGUCGUGCCGGCAUGUGUAUCAUUCUGAAUGCUUAGAGCAAACCACCCCCAAGGUAUCCAAACACGACCCGCCAUGCCCACUUUGUUCAAAGUCGGAUGAGAACACAUCUGAUCGCCGGGCUGUCUGCCGGAUGAGAAAUGGGAUUCCAAAGCUAAAAUCACCAGAGGAAGGGCCUUCAAGACUUUGGAGCUGUGCACAAGCGGGUGAUUGUGUAGAAGGUGUUUUACAUGCGCCAAAACAAAGUAGAAUGGCUUUGUUGAGUAAAAACCAUCUCAAGAGGCAGCUGUCUAUGAAAGUAAAUCUAACCAAGAAACAAAGUGAGAACCUCAAGAGAAGUGGGAUCCGAAGGCAAGUUGGAUGCUCAUCGUCAUCUUAGUCGUAUUCAUCGAUAGCAUCCCUAGUCGUUUGUUCAUCCAUCUGCAUUGUGCUGUCAGUUGUUCUGAUGGCCGCGGCCUAGGAAAUCAUUUAGCGAAGCGGUUAGAGUUUGAAUUAUCAGAAAAGCCUUUGUUAGACGAUGGCUAUGUGCUUACUCUUGCUCGUAACCUUGUAUCUUGUUGCAGGUGAGUAUUUCAUGCAGGAGUCUGCUUACUGCGGUGGCAUUUCUUUUGCUGUUGUUUACAUGAUAUGUUAUUUGUAUGAUUAAUGUUUAGGUUAAUAGAUUAAUAUGAUCCAGGCCGGAUCUAAAUAUAACAUCUUUUUUUAAAAUCUAGUAUUUUAUACGAAACUAAUUGUAUUUGAUAAUAUUAUUGUAAUGGUGAAUAUUAUUAUUCACUUAUUAAAUCAACCCUUAAUUUUAGUUA
RNA transcript from Zingiber officinale, 2074 nucleotides. RefSeq lists it as uncharacterized. The transcript has 5 exons. NCBI's taxonomy places the organism in Eukaryota, Viridiplantae, Streptophyta, Magnoliopsida, Zingiberales, Zingiberaceae. The record is from RefSeq and is a predicted model, not a curated record.